GAUGAAGAACGUAGCAAAAUGCGAUAAGUAAUGUGAAUUGCAGAAUUCAGUGAAUCAUCGAAUCUUUGAACGCACAUUGCGCCCGCCAGUAUUCUGGCGGGCAUGCCUGUUCGGGCGUCAUUUCAACCCUCAAGCACAGCUUGGUGUUGGGACUCGCGUUAAUUCGCGUUCCUCAAAUUGAUUGGCGGUCACGUCGAGCUUCCAUAGCGUAGUAGUAAAACCCUCGUUACUGGUAAUCGUCGCGGCCACGCCGUUAAACCCCAACUUCUGAAUGUUGACCUCGGAUCAGGUAGGAAUACCCGCUGAACUUAAGCAUAUCAAUAAGCGGAGGA
This 332-nucleotide unclassified non-coding RNA is filed under the name soil metagenome. RNAcentral describes it as "partial contains 5.8S ribosomal RNA, internal transcribed spacer 2, and large subunit ribosomal RNA". The stretch from base 1 to 120 matches the Rfam family "5.8S ribosomal RNA", at positions 35 to 154 of the family's 154-position model. The record is from RNAcentral.